Long non-coding RNA from Brassica napus (rape), 1148 nucleotides. RefSeq lists it as uncharacterized. The record is from RefSeq and is a predicted model, not a curated record. The transcript has 2 exons. Lineage: Eukaryota; Viridiplantae; Streptophyta; Magnoliopsida; Brassicales; Brassicaceae.
AGCAUCCUAAUGAUGAGGAAGAGGUGGAGGGAAUUGAUCUGCACCAGCAACGUUACCCGUGGGAGGGAAGUGACAUGGAUUACUUAUAUGACGAGCUUUAACAUGCCAAAAUCACAAUGCAGUGGGUGUUGUAAGGUAAUUCAGUAGACACAAAUGUUCAGUUGAAAAAAAUUCUAAACUGUAUUUAUGCAUCAAACUUAUCAUCCGUAACAUAAUAAUAUGUUUUUUCUGUGCUAGGAACCGUUUGUAAAUAAAUGUCUCAGAUGUAUAUGACUGCUUAGUUUAUUGCUUUUGACAGUGAAAUCACUAAGCUUGCAAUGUGUCAGGACAGCAAAAGCAUCUCAGCUGAUGGUUAGCUUUACAAUUUCGUUGGUUUCUUUUUCCUAUUAUGUUGGAUGAAUUAUUUUAGCUAACAAAUAUCGCAACAGAGUGCUGGCAAUAACUCUAAUAGAUUUAUAUAUACAUUUAGAAUUGGAAGUUUGGUGAGAACAGGAACAAGUACUUCUGUCACGCUAUUGGACAGUUAUACGCUAUUUCAAGAGAAUUGAUUUCUUAUAUUUCCCAUAAUCAAUAAGAUUUUAACUGUUUUGUCUACUUUGCAUUCAUACCUCAUUCUCCAUCUAACUUCUCGGUGCUACUAUAUAAUGAUUAAGUCAUUUUCUGCACAAAUAUGCAAGUGGGGAUGUUACGUUGGGUGCUUGGUUUAUUGGGUUUGGCUAUACAAAGUCUGUUGUGACUCUAAAACUUUUACCUCAUUUAAAAUUGAUUCUGGUUCUUGGGAGAAUUGCAGAUUGUGAAUGAAAGGCACAAGCAGGGAACAUAUGUGUAGCUGCGUUCGACUCGACAUGUAGUGGUAUAUGCAGAUCCGCUGAUCCCAUUGUGGAGGUUAACAUGCAAUGUGUUGACCUGGAAAUCAUUAUUUGGAAGCUACAUUUCGAGGCAUUUCCUCAACAUAUAAAUAGACCAUAGACAGAGUUUGAUAUUUAUAAUACUGAUAUUUAUAAUACUCAGUGAUCAUGGAGUCUGCAGAAAAGAGUCCUUUUGCAUAUUCUAUAUGGAACCAAGAGAUAUGUCCUUUGUUUGAUGAUUGUAUUAUGAUAGCUACUAACAUAGGAGAUGACUAGAGAAAGAGAAAUGAGUAUGAAACU